CCUACGGGGGGCAGCAGUGGGGAAUAUUGCGCAAUGGGCGAAAGCCUGACGCAGCGACGCCGCGUGAGGGAUGAAGGUCUUCGGAUCGUAAACCUCUGUCAGCAGGGAAGAACGGUCACUGUGCUAAUCAGCAGUGAAUUGACGGUACCUGCAAAGGAAGCACCGGCUAACUCCGUGCCAGCAGCCGCGGUAAUACGGAGGGUGCGAGCGUUAAUCGGAAUUACUGGGCGUAAAGCGCGCGUAGGCGGUAUGUCAAGUCAAGGGUGAAAUCCCCGCGCUCAACGUGGGAACUGCCUUUGAAACUGGCAAACUGGAGUGUGUGAGAGGAUAGUGGAAUGCCAGGUGUAGGAGUGAAAUCCGUAGAUAUCUGGAGGAACAUCAGUGGCGAAGGCGACUAUCUGGAACAUAACUGACGCUGAGGAGCGAAAGCGUGGGUAGCAAACAGGAUUAGAUACCCGAGUAGUC
RNAcentral lists this ribosomal RNA (465 nucleotides) under uncultured bacterium. RNAcentral's name for it is "partial 16S ribosomal RNA". It matches the Rfam family "Bacterial small subunit ribosomal RNA", at positions 338 to 795 of the family's 1533-position model. The record is from RNAcentral.